RNAcentral lists this small RNA (2883 nucleotides) under Rattus norvegicus (Norway rat). Its description in RNAcentral is "uncharacterized LOC102553542". The record is from RNAcentral. Lineage: Eukaryota; Metazoa; Chordata; Mammalia; Rodentia; Muridae.
UUUGAGUUCCUGUCCUUACUUUCUUCAGUGGUGAAUUGUAGCAUGGGAGCAUAAACCAGGUAAACCCCUUCCUUCCCACCUGGCUUUGGUUGUGGUGUUUUAUCAUAGCGAUCGUGUCUAACUAUGACACUUGCAUCCGCCUGUGGCCUGUCCUGAUAAUAAAAUCCAGAACACCAAGUGAAACCUGAAGUUCAGUUAAACGACGAAUAAUUUUUAGUGUAAGCUUGUCGCGUGUAACACGGGAAACAUGCGAAACUAACCACACUUUACCUGGCAUCCAAAUGAAUUAGCAUCCUGUAUUUUUGACUUGCUAAUUCGGAUGAAGGUUGGCUUUAGGGAUGCUGUAGGGAACAGGAGGUAGGUUAAGCCAUUGCAGCUGCCACAAGAUAGGCUACCUUACCUCCUCCCAGCAUUCAGUGGUAGUGAGAAAUGGGGCUAAUACAGCAGCCCCAGUGGCCUCUCAUCACCUCAGAAGUGUUACUCUUUUCAUGAGUGCAUCUCAUUGUCAGGUUUUUAAGCAGAGCUUGCGGGUGGCUGGUCCUUCACUGUUCAGCAUGGAGGACCUGGCCCAGAACAGUUGUGUGGUAACCAUUUCUUAAACGAAUGGACAAGUUUUAAAGCGCACCACCCCAGAAGUGGCUGACGGUCCUUGGUGGCCGUAUUACGUCAGUGUUUGUCAGCUGCCAACACACACUCAAGACAAGUUAUAGAGAGAAGAGGUUUUCAGGCUCUAGGUCAGGAGGUUCCAUAUGAGGCAGGCAUUGAUUUUGGGCCUUUUCUAGGGGAGCCUGAAGGUGAUGGCAGGUAGUUGUGAGAAGCAACAACGUCCACCUCACGGCUAAGAUACAAAACAGAGGAAGAGGAGAGGGCUGGGGUCUUAAAUCCCCUUAAAGAACACACCCACUGUGACCUAAUAUGUCUCACUAAGAGUGACGUCAUAAAGCUUCCAUUGCUGGACGCCAAGCCUCCGGGGACUUUGGGUCAGACAUUUAUCCAAACCAUAUCAAUGUCUAUGGUCCGGUGUUGUCUAUUUCAGGUUGAGUCAGAUGUUGACAGAGUAUGAAGGCCCAUCAGGGCCAUAGAGCAGUAGAGUAGCCUUUGAGUCGGCCUCUUAGUGUGAUUCAGGUAUGGGGUAUAACCAGAACAUUUAGUCUGACUGCUGCACACGGCCUGUCUGAUAACCCCAUCCUGUCCAGCAUGGUGUCUGCACGCUGAACAUUCUUAGCAGAUGGUGGGCUCUAUGCUCAUUACUCUUAAUACGAUUUAUUACCACUGAAGGGACUCGAGGAUAAAAGGAAAACCUGCCAAUAGUGUCACUGGGGCAACAAGCCAGCAGAGCUAUUCUUGGAAAUGUGGAGCUUCGGGCAUGGGACCUUUGAGCAUGAAGCAGCAAAUGGCAAAUACAGUGCAGAUUCCCCUAGGCAGCGUGGUGCUUAGGCUCAUCCUUUACACACCAUGAUGAUGUAAUCCCACCAGCUCCGCUCGGACGCACUUCCUCCUGGAAGAACGUUUACCAGAGUCAGUCUAUGCUAAGUCUGUCACGAUCUAAUUCAGAUGAUGUUCUGCUGCGUGCGUAACUGGAACAUCCCAAGGGAAGGGUCUACGUGAUUUAAUUUUGUACUAUAGCAUCCAGCACACUUCCCGGUUUUAUGAUGUAUGUUUGUAUCAGAUAGAGUAGGCUGGGUUUUUGCCGCAGUACAAAGAUGUGCUUUCAGAUUUUGGCAGCUUAUUUUAACCAAGGGUUACUUUCUUGCCCAUGUCAUUUGUUCUCUGUUGGUCCUGAUGUUGUUUGUCCUCUGUUGGUCGGCAUAGGGAGGAGUUCACUGACUCCUCAUCUGAGACCUAGGGUGUAGGGCAAGUUUUGAACGGAAUGUUGAAAUCCUCUUGAUAGAGCCACAGUAUGGAGCCCCAGGCUGCCUCUCAAAGCUCCUCAGAACAAUUACUUCCACUUAUACCUCAUGACAAACCAAACCACGCAGUCAAGCUGACCUCCUGAGAAGAAGGGAAAUACCAUUCUCCCUCACGGAAGAAGAGAAAAGGUUUUUGAACAAGAAUACAAUCUUCUACAGUGCCCAGGUCAAGGUGGAACUGCAUAGGAUGCAUCCUUCUGAUGGCUUCUUUCGCUUGGCAACGUGUUCAGUUUCCCCUGUGUCUUCUCCUAGAUCGAACAUUCAUUUUGCUUGCUGAGUAACACCUGGGUGCAGGUACUGAAUUCCAGGUCAAGGGUUCUGCUGAAGUGGAAUUAAAAUAAAAUGUGGCUUACACAGUGUGCUGCAGGAGAUGGACUAAACACACCACGGUCCUCACAAGUGAAAGUUUAGUGAAUGACCUGCCACACGGUCUCUCAUGAAAUAUCUGGGUAGAGUUUUCUCUUAUAGGGUACCUUUUUUUUCCAUUUUGGGGAGUUUCCCCAUUGUCACAGAAAAUCCCAUUCGAGGGGUUUCGCUAAAUGUUGGACUCUAUUAGUGAAGAGAGAUCUUCCUGUUGAAACACAGGACUGGAUUUUUGAGUGGAGCAAGAGUGUCCCCUUCACAGAACAUGUUCACGAAUCAAAGCCCUGUAGGAGGAACUGGCAUUUCUUGCUAUCGCAUCGACUCCAGUGGCUGAGUCUUUGGCCUGAAAGGAUCCCUCCAUGCUAAAUGAAGAAGACCUGAUAGAGGAGAGCAAAGAAGAGAAGUGGGAAAUGGAGAGAAUUCAAAGAGCCAGUUCAGAGACUGCCGAGAGGAGAGAUCCAGCUGACUCUGGUUUUCUGUUGUUGAGAAAUAGUCACUGUCCCACAGAAGCUGCCACAGGUGUAACAAUGUGGAGAGAACUCUGUGUGUGUGUUAAUGUAUGUAUUUAUGUGCAUGGGUGUGAUGUGUGUUUGUGUUGUGUGUAUAUGUG